This 500-nucleotide ribosomal RNA is filed under the name uncultured bacterium. RNAcentral's name for it is "partial 16S ribosomal RNA". It matches the Rfam family "Bacterial small subunit ribosomal RNA", at positions 30 to 523 of the family's 1533-position model. The record is from RNAcentral.
AUUGAACGCUGGCGGAAUGCUUUACACAUGCAAGUCGAACGGCAGCACGGACUUCGGUCUGGUGGCGAGUGGCGAACGGGUGAGUAAUGUAUCGGAACGUGCCCAGUCGUGGGGGAUAACGUAGUGAAAAUUACGCUAAUACCGCAUACGAUCUAUGGAUGAAAGCGGGGGAUCGCAAGACCUCGCGCGAUUGGAGCGGCCGAUAUCAGAUUAGGUAGUUGGUGGGGUAAAGGCCCACCAAGCCAACGAUCUGUAGCUGGUCUGAGAGGACGACCAGCCACACUGGAACUGAGACACGGUUCAGACUCCUACGGGAGGCAGCAGUGGGGAAUUUUGGACAAUGGGCGAAAGCCUGAUCCAGCCAUUCCGCGUGCAGGAUGAAGGCCCUCGGGUUGUAAACUGCUUUUGUACAGAACGAAAAGGUUUCUACUAAUACUAGGAGCUCAUGACGGUACUGUAAGAAUAAGCACCGGCUAACUACGUGCCAGCAGCAGCCGCGG